UUAGAGUUUUUUAAAAUUUUAUAAAACACAAGAUUACCGAUUUAUUAAACCUUUAUUUAUCAUAACAGGGAGUAAGGUGAUGGAUUCUUACCCAGAUCAGUGUUUCGACAUGUUGUGCUACCCACUACACCUCCUUACGGGUCCCCGAUUUCCUGAAUUUUUCAUGCAGAAAUCAAACUACUCGUCACGUACUCAAAAAUACUUUAAAAUUUCAAAAUUGGUGUUGAAAAUCCUUUCUGGCCAAUUUUAGGGUCUGGCACGGCGGUGCCGCUGUGCUCCGGCGCCGGCUUUGUCGCCCAAGGCGGUGGUUUACCUCGGCUUAGCCGAUUUUGACAUGUUUUGGUUGGUUUUACACUUAUUCCUGCAAAAAUACAUUAGGAAGUUUCAGUUGACUAGAAAAAAAAAAAAUCGAACCUAACAGUUUGGGGUGGCGGGGUCACCAGGUGUACCGGCUCCACCAGUUCUCCUUCAUUUUCUCCUUCAGCUAAUCUGCACAGAAAGGGAUAGUGAACACAAUGGUCAAAGAAUCGUAUAAAACGAAAAACGGGAAGGGGGUCAUCGGAAGGAGUUUAGGGUUUUGGCUGCGGCAACUCUGCCAGACUUUGCCUGUGGUUUUCAACUCAUCCAUCAUCCCUUUUGCUUUAAUAUGUUCAUAGGGAGACUCAAAAUCGAAUUCUGAAUGGGAAUGAGAAACUUUUACCCUUUUUGGUGGUCGGCGGUGACUCCGGUGCACAGCAUCUGGGGGUCGGUCUUUUUCUCUAGCGUUUGGUUAUUUUUCUCCAGUGAGGG
Molecule: long non-coding RNA, 789 nt
Filed under: Carica papaya (papaya)
Lineage: Eukaryota; Viridiplantae; Streptophyta; Magnoliopsida; Brassicales; Caricaceae
Description: long non-coding RNA (CPAP_LNC007468)
Source: RNAcentral